AACAAACGCUGGCGGCGUGCCUAAUACAUGCAAGUCGAACGGGGAAAGCUUUCGGGUGAGUACUAGUGGCACACGGGUGAGUAACGCGCGGAUAAUCUGCCCUCGAAUGGGGAAUAACUAGUCGAAAGAUUAGCUAAUACCGCAUAAGACCACGACUACUGAGGUAGUUGGGGUCAAAGGAGCAAUUCGUUUGAGGAUGAGUCCGCGUAAGAUUAGCUAGUUGGUGAGGUAAUGGCUCACCAAGGCGAUGAUCUUUAACUGGUCUGAGAGGAUGAUCAGUCACACUGGAACUGAGACACGGUCCAGACUCCUACGGGAGGCAGCAGUAGGGAAUAUUGGACAAUGGGGGCAACCCUGAUCCAGCGACGCCGCGUGAGCGAUGAAGGCCUUCGGGUCGUAAAGCUCUGUUGUAAGGGAAAAAGUUCUGAUUGUACCUUACGAGAAAGGAUCGGCUAACUUCGUGCCAGCCGCCGCUGUAA
Molecule: ribosomal RNA, 479 nt
Filed under: uncultured bacterium
Lineage: Bacteria
Description: partial 16S ribosomal RNA
Rfam family: Bacterial small subunit ribosomal RNA
Source: RNAcentral